GCUUAUCUGUUAGUGAUCCAUCUAGGUUGUUCCUGCCAGUGGAACAAAUCUGGUACAAAUGGUUCAAGAUAUUGUUUAGUUAACAUACUUUACAUUCAGGUGAAGAACUGCAGAAUAAACGUCUCUGUCAGGGAGUGCUAGGCCUGAUGUGGCACUGUUUUACUCUUGAACAACCAGCUAUGGGGCUUUUUUCAUCUUGGUGAAUGAUUUAUAAUUCACUCACCUAACUACUCAAUUUGAUUCAGUGCUGUUGUCCUUUUAAAUUGUGCACAUUAAAAUAACUAUAUUAAUCUAUUUCUGUUUAUGGUGAAUCUAUUUUGAAUGUGAAUUUUUUAAUAUUAAUAAAAUUAGAGAUGAUAAAUCAUCAUAACAAAAUAAGCUUCCGGAGGUUUAGAGUUUGGUUGAACAAACGUCAAAUAAAACACUUUCUAUUUAUACUUUUAUUUUUAAUUGCCUUCACAAUGUUAUGUGGGCUUUAUUUCCACACUUUCGAAUACCAAAGGAGCAAAGUAGAGAUUGCCAUGAAAGAAGAAACACAACAGAAUACAGUUAAGGUUACUUCUUCAUUAAUACAAUUACGAAAUACUAUAAAUUACAUCAACACAAUGCAAGAGAUUAAAAAUUUUGAUGGGAACAUCACAGAUCGGACAAUAAUUUUAGUAAUUCAGGUUCACAAACGCAUAGCUUAUUUACGAGGUUUGAUUGAAAGUCUUCGCUCAGUUGAAGAUAUAAGUUCUGUUAUUUUAAUAUUCAGUCACGAUUAUUUUGAUGAGGAAAUAAAUAAAUUAGUGAAUUCCAUUGAUUUUGCACCAGUUAUGCAAAUAUUCCUGCCGUUUAGUAUUCAAUUGUAUCCCAACGAGUUUCCAGGGUUAAGCCCAAAUGACUGUCCAUGGAACUUAAGCGUUGAAAAGGCCAAACAGCUGGACUGCCAGGGUGCCCAGAACCCAGAUCAGUACGGACACUACAGACAGGGUGAGGUAACCCAGAUCAAACAUCACUGGUGGUGGAAGAUCAACAGGGUGUUUGAUCAAUUAAGGGUCACUGACAACUUCAAUGGUUUUGUGUUGUUCCUGGAAGAAGACUAUUAUGUUGCUCCCGACAUUCUACACACUCUUCGACUCAUGGUCAACUUUGCUGCCGUCAACUGUCCAUCUUGCAACAGCUUUCAUCUUGGCACCUUUACUAGGAGUAUGUCUUAUCAGGAGCAUGCAUCUAAGGUGAGUGGAGGAGAGUGGAACAACUUGGGCUUGUCAUUCAACCGAUCGUUCUGGCAGAUACUGAAAGCUUGUUCCCCCACGUUCUGCACCUUCGAUGACUACAACUGGGAUGGAAGCUACCAGUUCGCUGCUCAGCAAUGCUUCUCCCAGAAACUAACCCCUCUAAUUGUUCAUGCAUCACGAGUGCUUCAUGUUGGUGACUGUGGUGGUAUGCACAACAACCGGGCAGGUUGUGAUGCUGACAAGUCUGUACAGCGAGCGAGAAACUUUGUGAAGUUGGUGCGUCCAUUUCUGUUUCCCAAGAGUCUCACAAUGCUCUCUACAAACUUUAAACAGCCACAAGCCAAGAGGGGAUGGGGAGGCUUUGCUGACCCUCGAGACAUCCAGCUGUGCCUUAACUUUAGCUCCUUAUCUAUCCAGUUAAUCCCUGACUCAUGAGUAGGGAAUAAGAAUUUUUAUUGAAUUUAAAGUAAGAGUAUUUAGAUAAACAGUGCCAAGAUAUUCUAAGGAGUCAUGCCCUAAAUAUCAAAUUGGUUUAAACUAAUAUUUUUAUAUUGUAGUAAUAUGUGAACUGUAUAAUUAAAACCCAAAUAGUUAAAUUGACUGACUUAAAAAAAAUUAUGCAAAAAUGUUGCACUUUUGGGUGAUUUAUUAUUGAUUGAAACACAAUUGAGAAGUUUGAUUCAGACUACACUAACAAUCAAUUAUUUGUUGUGUACAAAGUUUUACUGAACUGUACCAAACUGAAAUUUUGUAUAUUAUAAAUCUUUAAUAUAUAUUCCUAUGUACUACUUUUUCAAACAUUAACAAUCUGUAGUUACAAGUGAAGAUUUAUAGAUUUGAAUACAUGACGUUAUAAUUAGUAGAUGUGUAAUAGUAGUUUUAUAUCAUUACAUGUUUUGAAUGGAGUAGUGAUUGAAUUCGCAACAGUGUUAGGAAUUAUUGCAAAGUUGCCAAUGUUCACUUCAAAAUUGACAUAGCCUGCUGGCUGAGGUUACGUUUAGAUUGUUAAUAUUAUUAUUUAAUGUGUUUACACUGAAUUAUCUGUUUCAAACUCAUUAAAAGAUAUUUUAACAAAGACAAAAAGACAAAUCAAUGUGUGUCUUACAUACACUAUGAUAGCAUCUACAAAAUCGGUUCACAUUACAAAUUUUUAGCAAUGGUUUUUUUUCCUCAAAAUUAGCCAACUUUUGAUACAAAUUGUCCAAAAAUUGCUAUAUAUAAUAAUUUUUAAACAUUUACUAAAUUUGUUUAAGAAAUAAAGAAUUUUUGAAAAAAGUAUUUGUCAGAAAUUAGAAAAUUAGUUGUUUUUUAUACAGCAAAAUAUUGAUAUUUUAUUUUAUUUCAUUUUCUGCAAAUAAAAAUGUUUAAACAGUCAUCUGAGUAUAUCUAUUAGUUCUGAAGAUAAAAUUGUCUAAUAGAUCAUUACAAUUUUGAAUAAAGCUGAUAAGUUUUUUUUUCAUGGGCAGUCUGAUAGCCGGUAACCUUAAAAGGGUAUUAAAUAUUUAAUAGGUUAAAAAUGUUUGAAGUGUAUUAGUUUUAAAUAUGUUAAAGCACAUUAUGUUAAUUUGUAAAACAUUUCUUGUAAUGAAAUUAUCAAUUUUCUCUUGUAUUUAGUAAAAGAAAUAAAGUUUUUAUUGUUGUGAUCUUGAAA
Molecule: unclassified non-coding RNA, 2871 nt
Filed under: Homalodisca vitripennis (glassy-winged sharpshooter)
Lineage: Eukaryota; Metazoa; Arthropoda; Insecta; Hemiptera; Cicadellidae
Description: alpha-1,6-mannosyl-glycoprotein 2-beta-N- acetylglucosaminyltransferase-like, transcript variant X3
Source: RNAcentral